AUCGAAGUCGAUGGGGCUUUAUUUGGAAGCGAUGCUUGGCGUGUAUAUGGGAGCUCAAAUUGCGGCAAGCUUCUGGUCAUAAACAGGAGACCAGCCGUAGUGAGAACGGUGUUGGCGUUAGCAGCAGAGAGGGUUUUGGUGUGAUGGUCUGCAGCUCGCGAGAAAGCCCUGCUCGUUUGUUGCCUCACGAGUCGACGAAACUCUCCUUGGCUUCUGCUGUGUCUCCUUCUUCUUCUUCUUCAGGUACUCUACCGUCCUGUUAAUCUACGACGUCGCGAAUCACCACUGAAAAGCGACCAAGGCGCACGCUGCUGCGCACGGCCGUGGACGGCUCCUAGUGUGGGCUGGGUCUCGUCGACUCCAUCCAGUCGAGGGCGACUUGUCUGCUCGCCAAGGUCAUGUGGACACUCACGGAUCCGUCGAUGCGUCGUUCGCCUCCGAGACAACGUUCUGUGACGAAUCCACGACUUUACUCUCUUCUAUGCAGGGGUCGAGAGCUGCUGUGCUGCUGCGCCCUGGUCGUGCGCGGGAGCGAACGGAAACGCACGCUGCACUCCGUGGGCGUGCUCGUGACCCAUGAGGUCACGAAAAGCAUCACAGAGGAUAGCGUGCAUACAAGCAGAGUAUGGGAGAGCUUGGCGCUCGUCGUCCACCCAGUGCAUCUGGAUCCCGAAGAAGAGACGGAUACGGAGUGAAGCGUCGCUGUCCGUGCUGCUCCGCCAGGUACCGGAGUAUUCGAAGAAGGAUCCGGUGUCUCCGCGCAAGUAUGACGGACUCGAACAGGUCCACGAAAAGCGUCGGCGGCGCUUCUUCAGAUGUUUCUAGUCUCCAUGGAAGGCAUGGCGUGCAGCGCGUAGCGAGGCUUUGGAUACCGACGGAUCUCCAGUACGCAUGGGCGUCGUGAAAGCGUGACCUGGGUCACCAACGAGGCUCAUUUUCAACUGUUCAAGGCAGACGAGGAGAAAGUCGCUGUUGGGAGCGUGGAUCCGAGGUUGAAGAGCGCCCUUGUCGUCCCCGUGUAUGCAAAUGAGGCGGACGGCGCCGCCCAAGACCUGAAUGGCAAGCAGACGGAGCUGCCCAGCGCGUCCAGCACUUGGUAUGAUCGGGAGCCGCGCAUCACCUUGGAUGGCAUACGGCGAAGUACGAGGCGGAAUGACUGCGUCAGGACCUGAAAGUGAACGCGCUGAGCAGUGUGUCGAGCAGCGUGGGAUGGGUUUCCACUUUUAACUCAGAGCGCGCACGAGCGUCUGACCUGCGCAUGCGCACAGCCUUUGGCAGGAUUCCGUGAGACGGCGCUGGGGGGCCACCAACGGACUCGGUUGGACGGAGGCGAGGGGCGCGCACUCGCAAAGCUCCUGGACCAGUUGGAAAAGGGAGUACCCAACAGGUCGCGUCGAUUGCUGGAAGCCUGUGGCGCUGGAUGUGCUGUGGCACGCAAACGCUGGACUCCUGUGCGUACAGCGAGUGCAGGAAUCGAUGUUGCACGUUUCCUGUGGAGGACUAGAUGGCGACGCAGACGGAGCUCGAGUGCGGAUGCUCGUGCUGCGUCUACGUUGAGCGCCACUUGGGAAACAGGGCCGAAUGUCCGACAUGGGAUAUUGCGAGCGGACCUCGGACGUCGUAUUGCGAGGCAAUAGAAGCUGGCGGGCUCACUUUGGAAUGUCCGACAUGGGAUACUGCGAGCGGACCUCGGACGUCGUAUUGCGUAGCAAUUGAAGCUGGCGGGCUCACUUUGGAAUGUCCGACAUGGGAUACUGCGAGCGGACCUCGGACGUCAUAUUGCGAGGCAAUAGAAGCUGGCAGGCUCACUUUGGAAUGUCCGUCAUGGGAUACUGCGAGCGGACCUCGGACGUCAUAUUGCGAGGCAAAUGAAGCUGGCAGGCUCACUUUGGAAUGUCCGUCAUGGGAUACUGCGAGCGGACCUCGGACGUCAUAUUGCGAGGCAAAUGAAGCUGGCAGGCUCACUUUGGAAUGUCCGUCAUGGGAUACUGCGAGCGGACCUCGGACGUCGUAUUGCGAGGCAAUAGAAGCUGGCAGGCUCACUUUGGAAUGUCCGACAUGGGAUACUGCGAGCGGACCUCGGACGUCAUAUUGCGAGGCAAAUGAAGCUGGCAGGCUCACUUUGGAAUGUCCGUCAUGGGAUACUGCGAGCGGACCUCGGACGUCAUAUUGCGAGGCAAAUGAAGCUGGCAGGCUCACUUUGGAAUGUCCGUCAUGGGAUACUGCGAGCGGACCUCGGACGUCGUAUUGCGAGGCAAUAGAAGCUGGCAGGCUCACUUUGGAAUGUCCGACAUGGGAUACUGCGAGCGGACCUCGGACGUCAUAUUGCGAGGCAAAUGAAGCUGGCAGGCUCACUUUGGAAUGUCCGUCAUGGGAUACUGCGAGCGGACCUCGGACGUCAUAUUGCGAGGCAAAUGAAGCUGGCAGGCUCACUUUGGAAUGUCCGACAUGGGAUACUGCGAGCGGACCUCGGACGUCAAAUUGCGAGGCAAUUGAAGCUGGCAGGCUCACUUUGGUGUGAUUCCAUCGCAAGUCAUGUGUGCGGGCGCAGGCUCCGCUCCGAGCCAUGAACGUCUCGAUCAACACCCGGAAAAGUCUCGUGCCUGGGGGGCGUCUAUCGGCUAUGUGUAUCGAGCGAAGUUUAAAGCGAAUCGAUUCGUGCUCCGUGUGGGCACUGUGUUUAAAUGCCGAAGACUUGCGACGAAAAAGUAUGAUUGAGCAAGAGAGCGUGCGUUGAACGCUCGCCUGGAGCAAGGCACCGGUAUGGCACGAGUCGGCGAUUCAGCAAUGCUACCAUCCCGCCUAUGCGUAUGCCGGGCAUGAUUUUCCUGGGCCAUUGGUGAACGAUGAUGAUGAUGAUGAUGGUGGUGGUGGUGGUGGUGGUGGUGGUGGUGGUGAUCCAUGAUUCGAUAUACCUGACCAUACAGCUUGCAGACAAGGCACGUGCCCUUGAACAGGCGAAGCAGAAAAGCACAAUUGGUCUCCGGCGGUGGCAGCGGUAGCAUUUUCUGAUUCGCCAUCUCUGGCGAGGUGCUUUCUCGUCGAAGCACCAGUGCACGUCCGUGCACGAUUUCAAGCACUACCAAGAUGCGCACGUACGCUACUAGAAGGAGACUCGCCUAUCCAGUUACCCUGUGGGUGUCAGCCGCGACGCUCAAUGCACCACCGCUGCAGUUGUCACCCAGAGACACGCCAGUGUCUACAUUUCAUGAUAUAACGCUGACGCAUGCAACCGUAUUGCCGUGUGCUCGCAGGCAUCGACUCUACACUGGCCGCCUGGACGGGCGCUAGACGCACCGGAGCGUACACCCGACGACGCCGAAGCGCACCUUUCAGAUGCGUUUCUGUCGAGUGCAGCUGGAGGACGAUAACCGAGACUUGCUUCUUUUGUUUUAUCGCGCCUCCUCCGCAGUGAUUGCUUGAGAAUACGUCUGAGGGUGCACGCGUACGUCAGCAUUCAUGACCUGGUUGUUCUUUAGUCCACAGCGAAGUUUCCUGCACUCCAGAACGCUUCGCGAAUCAUGCGUGCCACUGGUACCGCAGUGCGCGUGCUGAUACUCUGCACGGUAAGCCAUGCGACGCUUCAGCAGCACGCUCUGCACGUUGUCCUCUUCAUUCCUCUUUCAGCAAGCCUACUGAACCAGUGUUGACUCAUUUACCAGUGGUGCAUCACCUCUGGUUCAUUUCCGGUGCACGUUACUGCAUUCGUCGCGCUUCACAGACGACCGUCCGCGUCACGACGUCAACAGACGUGUCCAUAAACAGG
Molecule: RNA transcript, 3766 nt
Organism: Cyanidioschyzon merolae strain 10D
Lineage: Eukaryota; Rhodophyta; Bangiophyceae; Cyanidiales; Cyanidiaceae
Exons: 1
Source: RefSeq, a predicted model, not a curated record